CUCAUUUUUGGAGAAUAUGUUUGGGCUCAGAUUACGCUUUAGUGCAAGAGCGUAUUAGUCUGCGUCUCACUGUACAAAAAUGA
Molecule: non-coding RNA, 83 nt
Filed under: Schistosoma japonicum
Lineage: Eukaryota; Metazoa; Platyhelminthes; Trematoda; Strigeidida; Schistosomatidae
Source: RNAcentral